This 292-nucleotide ribosomal RNA is filed under the name uncultured bacterium. RNAcentral's name for it is "partial 16S ribosomal RNA". It matches the Rfam family "Bacterial small subunit ribosomal RNA", at positions 505 to 796 of the family's 1533-position model. The record is from RNAcentral.
GUGCCAGCAGCCGCGGUAAUACGUAGGGACCAAGCGUUGUUCGGAUUUACUGGGCGUAAAGGGCGCGUAGGCGGCGCGACAAGUCACUUGUGAAAUCUCUGGGCUUAACUCAGAACGGCCAAGUGAAACUGUUGUGCUAGAGUGCAGAAGGGGCAAUCGGAAUUCUCGGUGUAGCGGUGAAAUGCGUAGAUAUCGAGAGGAACACCAGAGGUGAAGACGGGUUGCUGGGCUGACACUGACGCUGAGGCGCGAAAGCCAGGGGAGCAAACGGGAUUAGAAACCCGGGUAGUCC